Molecule: long non-coding RNA, 1050 nt
Organism: Sus scrofa (pig)
Lineage: Eukaryota; Metazoa; Chordata; Mammalia; Artiodactyla; Suidae
Source: RefSeq, a predicted model, not a curated record
AACCCAAGGAAAAGAGUCCUCUCAGCAAAACAAAGUUUGCCUGCUUCCUUGUGUGUGGCCUGCUUAUUUUAUUUUUGGGGGAGCUUUACUUUAGAAGUGCUGAGCCGCCCGAGGGCCCUUUUUCUCCAUUUGCGUUUUGUGUGUCUUCUGAAAAUUGUAUCCUAGCUAAAGCUACUCUUUCUCCCUUGGUGGCUUUUGAACUCACGUGGUGAACUGUGACCCCGAAAGAGCAACAGAAAUACCCUCAGGAAUGCUGCUCUUGUCAUCAAAACUCUACUGUUUGGGUAGCAGUAACCGGCUGAGGAUGAGCGGCAUCAAUUAUCUAUUACAACUCCAAGCUGUCAAUCAAAACCCAUGUUAUUUCCUAGGCCCCAGGCAACCAAAGGCAUCAAACUAACAAGAACUCGGAGGAGCAGAUAAACAUGAAGGUUGAGCUACAAAGUUCCCGGGAACGCAUGAGACAAUGGGAGUCCUCAGUGCCCCCAGCUCACUCUGGCUCAUACCAGACGCAGGUGGGAACAGAGAGGUGGUGGUGGAGGAAGAACGGGGCCCCCAAAUUCCCAGAUGGGGGCUGACAUAAACUCCCAAGAGAACACAGACACGGACUCUGCUGCAGGGAGUAAAGAAAGCCUCAUCAAAAUCAACUUGGAGGGCCUGGCCAAUUUUUCCGGACACUUGCUCCCUGGACAAAAGCUGCGAGAAAACUCGGAGUGAUGUCUGCUCAUGAGAACAUAAUGGCAAAGUCAGAAAAAAACAGAGGAGUGGAUCAGAAUCAAUCACUUUUUAAGUGAGCAGAGUCAGGGACCAGGAAGUACAAAAUUCCCAAUACCUGUUUUGUAGCAGCAUGGGAAACAAGCUCAUUUUAACCUGUCACUGUACAUCAAUCACUCUUCAAGCUCAAUGGAGGCAGGAAUUCUCCCUCUAAUAAUGAUAUUUACCUGCAAAUGGGUUGCCAUAAAACCACAGUGGUUGUAUCAAACCUGUAAGAACUGACCCCCAAGAGAAGACAAUGGUGAGAGGAAAGGGUGAAAUACAUUAUUAUUAUUAUUA